Molecule: ribosomal RNA, 301 nt
Filed under: uncultured bacterium
Lineage: Bacteria
Description: partial 16S ribosomal RNA
Rfam family: Bacterial small subunit ribosomal RNA
Source: RNAcentral
CAGUCGCCGCGGGAACACGGAGGGUGCGAGCGUUAUCCGGAUUCACUGGGUUUAAAGGGAGCGUAGGCGGGCAUGUAAGUCAGUGGUGAAAUCCCGGGGUUCAACCCCUGGACUGCCAUUGAUACUAUGUGCCUUGGAUGUUGUCGAGGUUUGCGGAAUAUGUCAUGUAGCGGUGAAAUGCUUAGAUAUGACAUAGAACACCGAUUGCGAAGGCAGCCCCCUGGGCCAAUACUGACGCUCAUGCACGAAAGCGUGGGGAGCAAACAGGAUUAGAUACCCCCGUAGUCCCUGUCUCUUAUAU